Columba livia (rock pigeon) is the source of this 425-nucleotide long non-coding RNA. RefSeq lists it as uncharacterized. Lineage: Eukaryota; Metazoa; Chordata; Aves; Columbiformes; Columbidae. The record is from RefSeq and is a predicted model, not a curated record. The transcript has 3 exons.
GACGUCCUGCACCUGCCUUACACAGGGCCAGCAGGGGCUCAUCCAUUUUACUUUCUCCAUCAGAAUGCCGUUGUGGGAGAACAACAAUGCAUAUGCCGACCUCGGUGACAGGCACAGCCGCUGCGAUGCCAGGGAGUGCCUUUGUCCCCAAGGCAGGGAGCACAGAGAGGAACGGGGGCCCUGGCAACUGCUCCUGUGCCGCUCCUGCGCUGCCGAGGGCACCCACAGAGGCUGCUGUGGCUUGAGGACCAGCGGGGCCCUCUGGGAGUGUGACAGCUGUGCUGGCCUGGGCACUGCCUCCAGUGCCAGCUCAGAGCUCGCUGGCCCCAGCACUGCCAGCCAGGCAGCACCAGGGCCGUCUCUUGGAUCUCCAGCACCAGAGACCGGCAGCCUCAGCACCACCAGCCAGGCAGGACCAGGGCCAU